This 173-nucleotide microRNA precursor is filed under the name Triticum aestivum (bread wheat). Its description in RNAcentral is "MIR2118 microRNA precursor family". It matches the Rfam family "MIR2118 microRNA precursor family". Lineage: Eukaryota; Viridiplantae; Streptophyta; Magnoliopsida; Poales; Poaceae. The record is from Rfam by way of RNAcentral.
GCCCGGAAGAGGAAUAAUUGAGGGCCUUAGAGUAGUGGGAAUGGGAACAUGGAGUGAAGCCUAAUUUACUCAGUUUUCUCCUCUAAUAUUGAAGGUGAGAAUUUAGUUUGGUGUUUCCCAAUGCCACCCAUUCCUAUUGUUCUAAAUCACUCAUUCCUCUCCCCCUUUUGGCU